AGUGAACGCUGGCGGCAGGCCUAACACAUGCAAGUCGAGCGGCAGCGGGUCCUUCGGGAUGCCGGCGAGCGGCGGACGGGUGAGGAAUGCGUCGGAAUCUGCCUUUUUGUGGGGGAUAACGUAGGGAAACUUACGCUAAUACCGCAUACGACCUACGGGUGAAAGUGGGGGACCGCAAGGCCUCACGCAGAAAGAUGAGCCGACGUCGGAUUAGCUAGUUGGCGGGGUAAAGGCCCACCAAGGCGACGAUCCGUAGCUGGUCUGAGAGGAUGAUCAGCCACACUGGAACUGAGACACGGUCCAGACUCCUACGGGAGGCAGCAGUGGGGAAUAUUGGACAAUGGGCGCAAGCCUGAUCCAGCCAUGCCGCGUGUGUGAAGAAGGCCUUCGGGUUGUAAAGCACUUUUGUCCGGAAAGAAAUCCCGUCGGCUAAUACCCGGCGGGGAUGACGGUACCGGAAGAAUAAGCACCGGCUAACUUCGUG
Molecule: ribosomal RNA, 484 nt
Filed under: uncultured bacterium
Lineage: Bacteria
Description: partial 16S ribosomal RNA
Rfam family: Bacterial small subunit ribosomal RNA
Source: RNAcentral